This 395-nucleotide long non-coding RNA is filed under the name Homo sapiens (human). RNAcentral describes it as "non-protein coding lnc-PLEK2-1:1". Lineage: Eukaryota; Metazoa; Chordata; Mammalia; Primates; Hominidae. The record is from RNAcentral.
UCGGUUGCCCGGCCGGGGACCCGAGCCGAAAAGUUAUCGUCAGAAUGUCGGGCAAAGACCGAAUUGAAAUCUUUCCCUCGCGAAUGGCACAGACCAUCAUGAAGGCUCGUUUAAAGGGAGCACAGACAGGUCGAAACCUCCUGAAGAAAAAAUCUGAUGCCUUAACUCUUCGAUUUCGACAGAUCCUAAAGAAGAUAAUAGAGGUAGAAUGAACUUUUCUUAGAAUAGUAUUUAUUUUAGAAAAAUCCAGCAUGGCCCUUGGCAUUUUUUUUUUUGUUGUUGUUAUUUUAAUUAAUUUUUUUCUUUCAAAAGUAAAAAUACCAUUAUAAGUUUAACAAGUGUCAAAUAUCAAAUAGUUCAUUUAAUAAAAUCCAAACUCUUUAAUCUUGCCUGCA